Molecule: ribosomal RNA, 451 nt
Filed under: uncultured bacterium
Lineage: Bacteria
Description: bacterial SSU rRNA
Rfam family: Bacterial small subunit ribosomal RNA
Source: RNAcentral
AGCGAACGCUGGCGGCAGGCCUAACACAUGCAAGUCGAACGGAUCCUUCGGGAUUAGUGGCGGACGGGUGAGUAACACGUGGGAACGUGCCCUUUGGUUCGGAACAACUCAGGGAAACUUGAGCUAAUACCGGAUGUGCCCUUCGGGGAAGAUUUAUCGCCAUUGGAGCGGCCCGCGUCUGAUUAGCUAGUUGGUGGGGUAAAGGCCCACCAAGGCGACGAUCAGUAGCUGGUCUGAGAGGAUGAUCAGCCACAUUGGGACUGAGACACGGCCCAAACUCCUACGGGAGGCAGCAGUGGGGAAUCUUGCGCAAUGGGCGAAAGCCUGACGCAGCCAUGCCGCGUGAAUGAUGAAGGUCUUAGGAUUGUAAAAUUCUUUCACCGGGGACGAUAAUGACGGUACCCGGAGAAGAAGCCCCGGCUAACUUCGUGCCAGCAGCCGCCGCAGUAAU